AUUAAACGCUGGCGGCAUGCCUUACACAUGCAAGUCGAACGGUAACAGGUUAAGCUGACGAGUGGCGAACGGGUGAGUAAUGCAUCGGAACGUGCCCGGUCGUGGGGGAUAACGCAGCGAAAGCUGCGCUAAUACCGCAUACGAUCUGAGGAUGAAAGCGGGGGACCGUAAGGCCUCGCGCGAUCGGAGCGGCCGAUGUCAGAUUAGGUAGUUGGUGGGGUAAAGGCUCACCAAGCCGACGAUCUGUAGCUGGUCUGAGAGGACGACCAGCCACACUGGAACUGAGACACGGUCCAGACUCCUACGGGAGGCAGCAGUGGGGAAUAUUGCGCAAUGGGCGAAAGCCUGACGCAGCCACGCCGCGUGAGUGAUGAAGGCC
RNAcentral lists this ribosomal RNA (379 nucleotides) under uncultured bacterium. RNAcentral's name for it is "bacterial SSU rRNA". It matches the Rfam family "Bacterial small subunit ribosomal RNA", at positions 29 to 416 of the family's 1533-position model. The record is from RNAcentral.